This 429-nucleotide ribosomal RNA is filed under the name Bacteroidota bacterium. RNAcentral's name for it is "Bacteroidetes bacterium partial 16S ribosomal RNA". It matches the Rfam family "Bacterial small subunit ribosomal RNA", at positions 355 to 775 of the family's 1533-position model. The record is from RNAcentral. Lineage: Bacteria; Pseudomonadati; Bacteroidota.
UAGGGAAUCUUCGGCAAUGGGGGGAACCCUGACCGAGCAACGCCGCGUGAGUGAAGAAGGUUUUCGGAUCGUAAAGCUCUGUUGUUAAGGAAGAACGAGUGUGAGAAUGGAAAGUUCAUACUGUGACGGUACUUAACCAGAAAGGGACGGCUAACUACGUGCCAGCAGCCGCGGUAAUACGUAGGGGGCUAGCGUUGUCCGGAAUCACUGGGCGUAAAGGGUUCGCAGGCGGAAUAACAAGUCAGAUGUGAAAGGCAUGGGCUCAACCCAUGUAAGCAUUUGAAACUGUAAUUCUUGAGAAGUGGAGAGGUAAGUGGAAUUCCUAGUGUAGCGGUGAAAUGCGUAGAUAUUAGGAGGAAUACCUGUGGCGAAGGCGACUUACUGGACACAAAUCUGACGCUGAGGAACGAAAGCGUGGGUAGCAAACAG